GGGUUGUGAGGUUAAGCGACUAAGCGUACACGGUGGAUGCCCUGGCAGUCAGAGGCGAUGAAGGGCGUGCUAAUCUGCGAUAAGCGCCGGUAAGGUGAUAUGAACCGUUAUAACCGGCGAUACCCGAAUGGGGAAACCCAGUGUGACUCGUCACACUAUCAUUAACUGAAUCCAUAGGUUAAUGAGGCGAACCGGGGGAACUGAAACAUCUAAGUACCCCGAGGAAAAGAAAUCAACCGAGAUUCCCCCAGUAGCGGCGAGCGAACGGGGAGGAGCCCAGAGCCUGAAUCAGCAUGUGUGUUAGUGGAAGCGUCUGGAAAGGCGCGCGAUACAGGGUGACAGCCCCGUACACAAAAGCGCAUGUGCUGUGAGCUCGAUGAGUAGGGCGGGACACGUGGUAUCCUGUCUGAAUAUGGGGGGACCAUCCUCCAAGGCUAAAUACUCCUGACUGACCGAUAGUGAACCAGUACCGUGAGGGAAAGGCGAAAAGAACCCCGGCGAGGGGAGUGAAAAAGAACCUGAAACCGUGUACGUACAAGCAGUGGGAGCACCCUUUGGGUGUGACUGCGUACCUUUUGUAUAAUGGGUCAG
This 591-nucleotide ribosomal RNA is filed under the name Salmonella enterica subsp. enterica serovar Enteritidis. RNAcentral's name for it is "partial 23S ribosomal RNA". It matches the Rfam family "Bacterial large subunit ribosomal RNA", at positions 1 to 623 of the family's 2925-position model. Lineage: Bacteria; Pseudomonadati; Pseudomonadota; Gammaproteobacteria; Enterobacterales; Enterobacteriaceae. The record is from RNAcentral.